Prunus dulcis (almond) is the source of this 939-nucleotide long non-coding RNA. RefSeq lists it as uncharacterized. The record is from RefSeq and is a predicted model, not a curated record. NCBI's taxonomy places the organism in Eukaryota, Viridiplantae, Streptophyta, Magnoliopsida, Rosales, Rosaceae. The transcript is spliced from 7 exons.
UUCUUCUUCUUCUAGCUUUUCUCUUAUUUUUCUGUUUUGGUGACAUAACCAAAGGCCAGAGCUGCUUCAUCUUCAUUUGUUGGCAUUUGCCUUGUUCUUUUUUUAGUAAUGCCGUUUUCACUGUGACUGGUUUAGUGAUGCCGCCAAAAAAUUCUUGAAUGGCUGAUGCCUGAUAGGGCAAUGAAGCCUUUCAGCAUUUCCGAAGAUCAGACAAAGGCAGCGGUCAAAGAACUUCUGAAAGUCUAUGCAAACAGCUUGGGAGUUUAUUAUUGAUGAAAAUUAGACUUUUGCUGGACUUUGUUCUGGACCAGAAGCCAGAGGGGGAAAAGUUGAUCUGAAAAUUAUUAAUCUAUGAUGGUGCAUCAUCCUCAGCCUCCAAUAACCACAAAAAACGGAAGCCCAGACUUGGCAGAUCCCUCUGUCGUUGUCUUUGUGUUAAGGCCCUGCAAAGUACCGAUUUCAGCUGAGAUUGGAGAAAGAUUGGCUUGCUAUGAAGGUAGAAAUGAGAAAGAAUGACAUGCUUUGCUGCCAUGGCCCCUCAAGAGAAGAAUUUUCAAUAUCAAGAUGGAUGAUACAAUAUCAAAUAUUACUGUGUGGUUGGAAUUGAGCACAUUGAGAGGCAGUUCUUGGCCAGUAUGUAACUUCUCUGGAUAGGCCUUGGGUAUCAUUUAGACGCUAAUCAAACAGAAGAAGAAGAAGAAGGAAGAAGGAAGAAGGAAGAGAAUGAGAGAGUCACAGAUGUAGACGAAGUCAUGGUUUUUGCUCUGUGGUUCUGGCUAUGGCUCAGAGAGAGAGACUUUGUGAGAACCUGUGAGACCGUUCGGGCUCUUUGGUUUUAUCGGAUAGGAGAGCUGGGCUUUGAGCUUCUCGUCUACACAAGAGGACAGGUCCAAUCUUGGCUGUUGACUGAUGUGUUCUGGGUUUAAUAUGGAAUAUUGG